AUUGAACGCUGGCGGCAGGCCUAACACAUGCAAGUCGAGCGGAUGAAGGGAGCUUGCUCCUGGAUUCAGCGGCGGACGGGUGAGUAAUGCCUAGGAAUCUGCCUGGUAGUGGGGGAUAACGUCCGGAAACGGGCGCUAAUACCGCAUACGUCCUGAGGGAGAAAGUGGGGAAUCUUCGGACCUCACGCUCUCAGAUGAGCCUAGGUCGGAUUAGCUAGUUGGUGGGGUAAAGGCCUACCAAGGCGGCGAUCCGUAACUGGUCUGAGAGGAUGAUCAGUCACACUGGAACGGAGACACGGGCCAGACUCCUACGGGAGGCAGCAGUGGGGAAUAUUGGACAAUGGGCGAAAGCCUGAUCCAGCCAUGCCGCGUGUGUGAAGAAGGUCUUCGGAUUGUAAAGCACGUUAAGUUGGGAGGAAGGGCAGUAAGUUAAUACCUUGCUGUUUUGACGUUACCAACAGAAUAAGCACCGGCUAACUUCGUG
Molecule: ribosomal RNA, 484 nt
Filed under: uncultured bacterium
Lineage: Bacteria
Description: partial 16S ribosomal RNA
Rfam family: Bacterial small subunit ribosomal RNA
Source: RNAcentral